GUGGAUUAGAUACCCUGGUAGUCCACGCCCUAAACGAUGUCAACUAGGUGUUGGGAGGGUUAAACCUCUUAGUGCCGUAGCUAACGCGUGAAGUUGACCGCCUGGGGAGUACGGCCGCAAGGCUAAAACUCAAAGGAAUUGACGGGGACCCGCACAAGCGGUGGAUGAUGUGGAUUAAUUCGAUGCAACGCGAAAAACCUUACCUACCCUUGACAUGUCAGGAAUCCUUGAGAGAUUGAGGAGUGCCCGAAAGGGAGCCUGAACACAGGUGCUGCACGGCUGUCGACAACU
This 291-nucleotide ribosomal RNA is filed under the name uncultured bacterium. RNAcentral describes it as "partial 16S ribosomal RNA". It matches the Rfam family "Bacterial small subunit ribosomal RNA", at positions 773 to 1060 of the family's 1533-position model. The record is from RNAcentral.